This 459-nucleotide ribosomal RNA is filed under the name uncultured bacterium. Its description in RNAcentral is "partial 16S ribosomal RNA". It matches the Rfam family "Bacterial small subunit ribosomal RNA", at positions 338 to 795 of the family's 1533-position model. The record is from RNAcentral.
CCUACGGGAGGCAGCAGUGAGGAAUAUUGGUCAAUGGACGAGAGUCUGAACCAGCCAAGUAGCGUGAAGGAUGACUGCCCUAUGGGUUGUAAACUUCUUUUAUAUGGGAAUAAAACAGGGUAUGCAUACCCUCUUGUAUGUACCAUAUGAAUAAGGACCGGCUAAUUCCGUGCCAGCAGCCGCGGUAAUACGGAGAAUCCGAGCGUUAUCCGGAUUUAUUGGGUUUAAAGGGAGCGUGGGUGGAUUGUUAAGUCAGCGGUAAAAGCCCGGGGCUCAACCCCGGAGAGCCGUUGAAACUGGCUGUCUUGAGAGGUCGAGAGGUAUGCGGAAUGCGCAGUGUAGCGGUGAAAUGCUUAGAUAUUGCGCAGAACUCCGAUGGCGAAGGCAGCAUACCGGCGGCGAUCUGACGCUGAGGCACGAAAGCGUGGGUAUCGAACAGGAUUAGAUACCCCUGUAGUC